Molecule: ribosomal RNA, 253 nt
Filed under: uncultured bacterium
Lineage: Bacteria
Description: partial 16S ribosomal RNA
Rfam family: Bacterial small subunit ribosomal RNA
Source: RNAcentral
UACAGAGGGGGCAAGCGUUAUUCGGAAUUAUUGGGCGUAAAGGGCGCGUAGGCGGCCUGACAAGUGGAAGGUGAAAUCCCUCGGCUUAACCGAGGAACUGCCCUCCAAACUGUUUGGCUUGAGACCGGGAGAGGUGAGUGGAAUUCCCAGUGUAGCGGUGAAAUGCGUAGAUAUUGGGAGGAACACCGAUGGCGAAGGCAGCUCGCUGGGACGGUACUGACGCUGAGGCGCGAAAGCGUGGGGAGCGAACAGG